This 241-nucleotide RNase P RNA is filed under the name Corynebacterium marinum. Its description in RNAcentral is "partial RNase P RNA component class A". It matches the Rfam family "Bacterial RNase P class A", at positions 147 to 367 of the family's 367-position model. From Rfam's summary of the family: Ribonuclease P (RNase P) is a ubiquitous endoribonuclease, found in archaea, bacteria and eukarya as well as chloroplasts and mitochondria. Its best characterised activity is the generation of mature 5'-ends of tRNAs by cleaving the 5'-leader elements of precursor-tRNAs. Lineage: Bacteria; Bacillati; Actinomycetota; Actinomycetes; Mycobacteriales; Corynebacteriaceae. The record is from RNAcentral.
GGUAAGGGUGAAAGGGUGCGGUAAGAGCGCACCGGCGGGGCAGGUGACUGUCCCGGCCAGGUAAACCCCACCGGGAGCAAGGCAUCAUGGCCUGCCACGUCGCAGGCCGGAUCGGACGUUUGAGGGCUGCUCGCCCGAGUCCGAAGGUAGCUGCUUGAGGCGGUCAGCGAUGACCUGCCCAGAUGGAUGAUCACCGCCCCUUCACGGGGUACAGAAUCCGGCUUACAGGCCGACUCAUUCG